ACACGGAGAGUGCAAGCGUUGUUCGGAAUCACUGGGCUUAAAGAGCGUGUAGGCGGGAUGUCAGGUGUCGCGUGAAAGCCCCGGGCUCAACCCGGGAAUGGCGAGGCAAACCGGCAUUCUUGAGGCAGGUAGAGGUGACUGGAACGACUGGUGGAGCGGUGAAAUGCGUAGAUAUCAGUUGGAACGCCGGAGGCGAAAGCGGGUCACUGGGCCUGUCCUGACGCUGAGACGCGAAAGCGUGGGUAGCGAACAGGAUUAGAAACCCCGGUAGUCC
Molecule: ribosomal RNA, 274 nt
Filed under: uncultured bacterium
Lineage: Bacteria
Description: partial 16S ribosomal RNA
Rfam family: Bacterial small subunit ribosomal RNA
Source: RNAcentral